CUGCCUUGUACAGGGGGACAACAGCUGGAAACGGCUGCUAAUACCGCAUAAGCCUGCAGUACCGCAUGGUACAGCAGGAAAAACUCCGGUGGUACAGGAUGGGCCCGCGUCUGAUUAGUUAGUUGGCGGGGUAACGGCCCACCAAGACGACGAUCAGUAGCCGGCUUGAGAGAGUGGACGGCCACAUUGGGACUGAGACACGGCCCAAACUCCUACGGGAGGCAGCAGUGGGGAAUAUUGCACAAUGGGGGGAACCCUGAUGCAGCAACGCCGCGUGAGUGAAGAAGUAUUUCGGUAUGUAAAGCUCUAUCAGCAGGGAAGAAAAUGACGGUACCUGACUAAGAAGCUCCGGCUAAAUACGUGCCAGCAGCCGCGGUAAUACGUAUGGAGCAAGCGUUAUCCGGAUUUACUGGGUGUAAAGGGAGCGCAGGCGGUGCGGCAAGUCUGAUGUGAAAACCCGGGGCUCAACCCCGGGACUGCAUUGGAAACUGUCGGACUAGAGUGCCGGAGAGGUAAGUGGAAUUCCUAGUGUAGCGGUGAAAUGCGUAGAUAUUAGGAGGAACACCAGUGGCGAAGGCGGCUUACUGGACGGUAACUGACGCUGAGGCUCGAAAGCGUGGGGAGCAAACAGGAUUAGAUACCCUGGUAGUCCACGCCGUAAACGAUGA
Molecule: ribosomal RNA, 668 nt
Filed under: uncultured bacterium
Lineage: Bacteria
Description: bacterial SSU rRNA
Rfam family: Bacterial small subunit ribosomal RNA
Source: RNAcentral